This 799-nucleotide ribosomal RNA is filed under the name uncultured Glomeromycotina. RNAcentral describes it as "SSU rRNA". It matches the Rfam family "Eukaryotic small subunit ribosomal RNA", at positions 314 to 1114 of the family's 1831-position model. Lineage: Eukaryota; Fungi; Glomeromycota. The record is from RNAcentral.
AUCAACUUUCGAUGGUAGGAUAGAGGCCUACCAUGGUGGUAACGGGUAACGGGGUGUUAGGGCACGACACCGGAGAGGGAGCCUGAGAAACGGCUACCACAUCCAAGGAUGGCAGCAGGCGCGCAAAUUACCCAAUCCCGACACGGGGAGGUAGUGACAAUAAAUAACAAUACGGGGCUCUUUAGGGUCUCGUAAUUGGAAUGAGUACAAUUUAAAUCUCUUAACGAGGAACAAUUGGAGGGCAAGUCUGGUGCCAGCAGCCGCGGUAAUUCCAGCUCCAAUAGCGUAUAUUAAAGUUGUUGCAGUUAAAAAGCUCGUAGUUGAAUUUCGGGAUCAGCAGGUUGGUCGUGCCUCUGGUAUGCACUGGUUUCGCUGAUUCCUCCUUUCUGAAGAACUGUAAUGUCAUUAAUUUGGUGUUGCAGGGAAACAGGACUGUUACUUUGAAAAAAUUAGAGUGUUUAAAGCAAGCUAACGCUUGAAUACAUUAGCAUGGAAUAAUGAAAUAGGACGUUUGAUCCUAUUUUGUUGGUUUCUAGGAUUGACGUAAUGAUUAAUAGGGAUAGUUGGGGGCAUUAGUAUUCAAUUGUCAGAGGUGAAAUUCUUGGAUUUAUUGAAGACUAACUACUGCGAAAGCAUUUGCCAAGGAUGUUUUCAUUAAUCAAGAACGAAAGUUAGGGGAUCGAAGACGAUCAGAUACCGUCGUAGUCUUAACCAUAAACUAUGCCGACUAGGGAUCGGAUGAUGUUAAUUUUUUAAUGACUCAUUCGGCGCCUUACGGGAAACCAAAGUGUUUGGGUUC